Molecule: ribosomal RNA, 467 nt
Filed under: uncultured bacterium
Lineage: Bacteria
Description: partial 16S ribosomal RNA
Rfam family: Bacterial small subunit ribosomal RNA
Source: RNAcentral
GAUGAACGCUGGCGGCGUGCUUAACACAUGCAAGUCGAACGGUGAAGGCGGAGCUUGCUCUGCUGGAUCAGUGGCGAACGGGUGAGUAACACGUGAGCAAUCUGCCCCUGACUCUGGGAUAAGCGCUGGAAACGGCGUCUAAUACUGGAUACGAGCUGCGAAGGCAUCUUCAGCAGCUGGAAAGAACUUCGGUCAGGGAUGAGCUCGCGGCCUAUCAGCUUGUUGGUGAGGUAACGGCUCACCAAGGCGUCGACGGGUAGCCGGCCUGAGAGGGUGACCGGCCACACUGGGACUGAGACACGGCCCAGACUCCUACGGGAGGCAGCAGUGGGUAAUAUUGCACAAUGGGCGAAAGCCUGAUGCAGCAACGCCGCGUGAGGGAAGACGGCCUUCGGGUUGUAAACCUCUUUUAGCAGGGAAGAAGCGAAAGUGACGGUACCUGCAGAAAAAGCGCCGGCUAACUACGU